Molecule: unclassified non-coding RNA, 435 nt
Filed under: Hevea brasiliensis (rubber tree)
Lineage: Eukaryota; Viridiplantae; Streptophyta; Magnoliopsida; Malpighiales; Euphorbiaceae
Source: RNAcentral
GAUUCCAGAGGGCAGAAUUCCAAUGGAAGAGGAAAUGGUUGGGUCUGAUUUAAUCUUCCAAAGUAAGGAUGGGAUCCUGAAAAGUCCCUGAGCCCUUUUAUCUUUUGUUGCUAAUGUGUAGGACAUGAGGCUUGAAUGGGACCGGUAACCUGCGAAGUCACCUCUCUAACUGCUUGCCUGUUGAUUAUGCACAAUCUAUCUCUGUUCUGGCAUCUGCAACUUCGGUUGCGCAAAUCAGCAAUCAUGUAACAUUAGCCCAAUUUAUGAAAUGUGCCGCUUCUCACCUUACCUCCAGGGACUGCUUUGGAUUGGAUGAGGAAUGCAAAGCUGUGGCCGCUUCUAUUUAAUGGGUACUUGUAAUGUCAUGUAUCAGGAAGAAUGUUAUACUUCCUCCUAAUUCAUGAAAUGUGCCUUUUAUUUUUAUUUUUUUUUUUU